RNAcentral lists this ribosomal RNA (304 nucleotides) under uncultured bacterium. RNAcentral's name for it is "partial 16S ribosomal RNA". It matches the Rfam family "Bacterial small subunit ribosomal RNA", at positions 506 to 807 of the family's 1533-position model. The record is from RNAcentral.
CAGCAGCAGCCGCGGGAAUACGUAGGGUGCAAGCGUUAAUCGGAAUUACUGGGCGUAAAGCGUGCGCAGGCGGUUAUAUAAGUCAGAUGUGAAAUCCCCGGGCUCAACCUGGGAACUGCAUUUGAGACUGUAUGGCUUGAGUGUGUCAGAGGGGGGUAGAAUUCCACGUGUAGCAGUGAAAUGCGUAGAUAUGUGGAGGAAUACCGAUGGCGAAGGCAGCCCCCUGGGAUAACACUGACGCUCAUGCACGAAAGCGUGGGGAGCAAACAGGAUUAGAUACCCCUGUAGUCCCUGUCUCUUAUAC